UGAAAUGACCCACAUGGAAGGAGCAG
This 26-nucleotide non-coding RNA is filed under the name Mus musculus (house mouse). The record is from RNAcentral. RNAcentral also lists the same sequence under 1 other name. Lineage: Eukaryota; Metazoa; Chordata; Mammalia; Rodentia; Muridae.